CCUACGGGAGGCAGCAGUGGGGAAUUUUGGACAAUGGGCGCAAGCCUGAUCCAGCAAUGCCGCGUGCAGGAUGAAGGCCUUCGGGUUGUAAACUGCUUUUGUACGGAACGAAAAAGUCUGCCCUAAUACGGUGGGCCCAUGACGGUACCGUAAGAAUAAGCACCGGCUAACUACGUGCCAGCAGCCGCGGUAAUACGUAGGGUGCGAGCGUUAAUCGGAAUUACUGGGCGUAAAGCGUGCGCAGGCGGUUAUAUAAGACAGAUGUGAAAUCCCCGGGCUCAACCUGGGACCUGCAUUUGUGACUGUAUAGCUAGAGUACGGUAGAGGGGGAUGGAAUUCCGCGUGUAGCAGUGAAAUGCGUAGAUAUGCGGAGGAACACCGAUGGCGAAGGCAAUCCCCUGGACCUGUACUGACGCUCAUGCACGAAAGCGUGGGGAGCAAACAGGAUUAGAUACCCUGGUAGUCCACGCCCUAAACGAUGUCAACUGGUUGUUGGGUCUUCACUGACUCAGUAACGAAGCUAACGCGUGAAGUUGACCGCCUGGGGAGUACGGCCGCAAGGUUGAAACUCAAAUGAAAUUGACGG
RNAcentral lists this ribosomal RNA (586 nucleotides) under uncultured bacterium. RNAcentral describes it as "bacterial SSU rRNA". It matches the Rfam family "Bacterial small subunit ribosomal RNA", at positions 338 to 916 of the family's 1533-position model. The record is from RNAcentral.